UACGUAGGGGGCUAGCGUUGUCCGGAAUUACUGGGCGUAAAGCGCACGCAGGCGGUCUGAUAAGCGGAGGGUGCAAUCUCGAGGCUCAACCUCGGAACCGCUCGCCGAACUGUCAGACUGGAGCACGGGAGAGGGCAGUGGAAUUCCCGGUGUAGCGGUGGAAUGCGUAAAUAUCGGGAGGAACACCAGUGGCGAAGGCUGCUGCCUGGAACGUUGCUGACGCUGAGGUGCGAAAGCCAGGGGAGCAAACGGGAUUAGAUACCCGGGUA
This 269-nucleotide ribosomal RNA is filed under the name uncultured prokaryote. RNAcentral's name for it is "partial 16S ribosomal RNA". It matches the Rfam family "Bacterial small subunit ribosomal RNA", at positions 524 to 792 of the family's 1533-position model. The record is from RNAcentral.